AUCCUAAAGAAAGCCAGGGAUUUCUAUAGCAAGACUGGUGUGAACACUGCCAAUGUGGCAGUGGUCAGAGAUUGCUACUCCGCGGCAGGAAGCGCCUGUGGUCCAGAGGGUCGGGCAGUUAUGGACUUGAGAGGGACUGGGCUCGCUUUGAACGAAUCGAUUACUUGGCGCAUAGCUUACGGGGUUUCUAUUUGGAACCCGAUUGUCACACGGUCAUCGAAUCAUCAGCUAAUGGAGAUACGCUGUGGUGGCGUAUGUGGCGUUUGCAAGGCACCUGGGUUGGUCCUCCUCACAUUGCUGGAUUCUGACGCCCCAGAAGAAAGUAGUGCCUUAACACCAUCCUGUGAUCAACACCUGAACAAUGUGUCUACAUAACAGUGCUCUAACAUCUUGUGAUCAACACCAUAACAAUGUUUCUACAUAACAGUGCUCUAACAUCUUGUGAUCAACACCAUAACAAUGUGUCUACAUAACAGUGCUCUAUCAUCUUGUGAUCAACACCAUAACAAUGUAUCUACAUAACAGUGCUCUAUCAUCUUGUGAUCAACACCAUAACAAUGUAUCUACAUAACAGUGCUCUAUCAUCUUAUGAUCAACACCAUAACAAUGUGUCUACAUAACAGUGCUCUAUCAUCUUGUGAUCAACACCAUAACAAUGUGUCUACAUAACAGUGCUCUAACAUCUUGUGAUCAACACCUGAACAAUGUGUCUACAUAACAGUGCUCUAACAUCUUGUGAUCAACACCUGAACAAUGUGUCUACAUAACAGUGCUCUAACAUCUUGUGAUCAACACCAUAACAAUGUGUCUACAUAACAGUGCUCUACCAUCUUGUGAUCAACACCAUAACAAUGUGUCUACAUAACAGUGCUCUAACAUCUUGUGAUCAACACCAUAACAAUGUGUCUACAUAACAGUGCUCUAACAUCUUGUGAUCAACACCAUAACAAUGUGUCUACAUAACAGUGCUCUAACAUCUUGUGAUCAACACCAUAACAAUGUGUCUACAUAACAGUGCUCUAACAUCUUGUGAUUAGCACCUGAACAAUGUGUCUACAUAACAGUGCUCUAUCAUCUUGUGAUCAACACCAUAACAAUGUGUCUAUAUAACAGUGCUCUAACAUCUUGUGAUCAACACCAUAACAAUGUGUCUAUAUAACAGUGCUCUAACAUCUUGUGAUCAACACCAUAACAAUGUAUCUACAUAACAGUGCUCUAUCAUCUUGUGAUCAACACCAUAGCAAUGUGUCUACAUAACAGUGCUCUAACAUCUUGUGAUCAACACCUGAACAAUGUGUCUACAUAACAGUGCUCUAACAUCUUGUGAUCAACACCAUAACAAUGUAUCUACAUAACAGUGCUCUAUCAUCUUGUGAUCAACACCAUAGCAAUGUGUCUACAUAACAGUGCUCUAACAUCUUGUGAUCAACACCAUAACAAUGUGUCUACAUAACAGUGCUCUAACAUCUUGUGAUCAACACCAUAACAAUGUGUCUA
This is a long non-coding RNA of Haliotis rufescens (red abalone), 1497 nucleotides long. RefSeq lists it as uncharacterized. The record is from RefSeq and is a predicted model, not a curated record. The transcript has 3 exons. Lineage: Eukaryota; Metazoa; Mollusca; Gastropoda; Lepetellida; Haliotidae.